Molecule: unclassified non-coding RNA, 17 nt
Filed under: Mus musculus (house mouse)
Lineage: Eukaryota; Metazoa; Chordata; Mammalia; Rodentia; Muridae
Description: oocyte_clustered_small_RNA10482
Source: RNAcentral
UAUUGUCACAUAUAUCA